This 403-nucleotide ribosomal RNA is filed under the name uncultured eukaryote. RNAcentral describes it as "bacterial SSU rRNA". It matches the Rfam family "Eukaryotic small subunit ribosomal RNA", at positions 454 to 858 of the family's 1831-position model. The record is from RNAcentral.
AUUCGAGGAGGUAGUGACAGAAAUACCGAUGCGGGACCCUACGGGUGCCGCGUUCGGAAUGAGUACGAUUCGAACCACCUAACGAGGAACGAUCGAGGGCAAGUCUGGUGCCAGCAGCCGCGGUAAUUCCAGCUCCAAAUAGCGUACGUUAAAGUUGCUGCAGUUAAAAAGCUCGUAGUUGAACGUUCGGGUUCCGCGGGACGGGGCCGCCCCGCGAGGGACGGCGCCGCCCCGGGGCUCGUGAUAUCUCAUCUCGCCGCCCGUCGCGAGGCGGACGGAGGGGAUGGAUGAGGUUACCUGGAAAAAAAUCGGGGCGAUCUAGGCGGGCGAACCUCGCCAACGAACGAUCGGACAUGGGAUAACGGAAGAGGGCGUCGGCUCGACUUCGUCGGUUCCUCGGGCC